This 71-nucleotide transfer RNA is filed under the name Marmota monax (woodchuck). RNAcentral describes it as "tRNA.Ala". The stretch from base 6 to 66 matches the Rfam family "tRNA", at positions 6 to 65 of the family's 71-position model. From Rfam's summary of the family: Transfer RNA (tRNA) molecules are approximately 80 nucleotides in length. Their secondary structure includes four short double-helical elements and three loops (D, anti-codon, and T loops). Lineage: Eukaryota; Metazoa; Chordata; Mammalia; Rodentia; Sciuridae. The record is from RNAcentral.
GGGAUUGUGGCUCAGCGGUAGAGUGCUCACCUAGCACAUGUGAGGCCCUGGGUUCAAUCCUCAGCAUCACA